GCGGGUAUAGCUCAGCUGGUAGAGCGAAGGUCUCCAAAACCUUAGGCCGCGGGUUCGAAUCCUGCUGCCCGCG
Molecule: transfer RNA, 73 nt
Filed under: Saprospirales bacterium
Lineage: Bacteria; Pseudomonadati; Bacteroidota; Saprospiria; Saprospirales
Description: tRNA-Trp
Rfam family: tRNA
About the family: Transfer RNA (tRNA) molecules are approximately 80 nucleotides in length. Their secondary structure includes four short double-helical elements and three loops (D, anti-codon, and T loops).
Source: RNAcentral